Molecule: ribosomal RNA, 119 nt
Filed under: Triticum aestivum (bread wheat)
Lineage: Eukaryota; Viridiplantae; Streptophyta; Magnoliopsida; Poales; Poaceae
Also listed under: 2 other names
Source: RNAcentral
GGAUGCGAUCAUACCAGCACUAAAGCACCGGAUCCCAUCAGAACUCCGAAGUGAAGCGUGCUUGGGCGAGAGUAGUACUAGGAUGGGUGACCUCCUGGGAAGUCCUCGUGUUGCAUUCC